Molecule: long non-coding RNA, 1447 nt
Organism: Spinacia oleracea (spinach)
Lineage: Eukaryota; Viridiplantae; Streptophyta; Magnoliopsida; Caryophyllales; Amaranthaceae
Exons: 3
Source: RefSeq, a predicted model, not a curated record
AUCCAUGCCUUGUUCCCCAAGGACAUUUCAACUUCUCAUUCACUCUACUUGUCAUUAUAAUCAGCCAAAUUCUCUCCCAAUUUUCAGAAUUAUUGGAAUACAAAAAAAAUCAGUUACAAAAAAAUCUGAAAUCUUCUCCCUUGUUCCCUUCCUGUUCGAACCACCACCGCCGGUGGCUUCCUCCACGGCAACCCACCACCACCACCAAUACUCGCCACUGCCUACCACCCUAUAACCAACCACCACCAACGCCACCUUGUGGCCACCGCAAACACCCCGCAUCCCCUGCUUCCCCUCCCCUGUUCGUACUCCCUCUCCCUUUCCUUUGCUGUUCCGCCACCGCAAGACCAACCACCAUCAUCACCCAAUAUCGGCCCACCAUUCCCAGCCACCCUCACCGCCUAUACACCUCUGUCGCCACCCAUAAUCGACCGGAAACACCCGUUUCCUUGUUUUCCCCUGUUCGCUCGACCACAUCCCCUUCCUUGCUGUUUCGCCGCCGCGAACCACCACCACCACCACCGACUCUCCGGCGCAUCCCUGCUGCGCCGCCCAGCCAACCACCCCUGCCUCCCUUCCUCUUCCCCUGCUCCUCCUUCGUGCCCUCCCUUCCCCUGCUCUCGUGCCUCCCCUGCCUGUGUUUCCCUUUCCAGAAAAUAAGAGAAACAAGUUCCCUUUAGGAACCUUGUUCCUUUUAUUCCCGUAACCAGGCCCAAAUCCCUUAAGCCCAAUUUUUUCAAUAAAUUGGACUCGGAGUUCAGGAAGAACGAUCCAUCGAACAUGAAGUAUAAACUACGGGAGGUACGAAGAAGAUCGUGGGAUGCCUUAGAGUGAGGAUGCAACCAUCAAAUUCACGAUCGAUGUUUAAUAAAGAUAACUAUGUCAUUAGCAAUAAAGGGAUGUAUUAUUUAAAGUCUAAGUUUGAUUUCAUGAUUUGAGUUAGACUUUAAUAUUAAUGUUUAAUCAGAUGUUAAAAGUAUUUAUUAUUAAAGUUUAUUUAGUAAUUUAAAAAGGUUAUGUCGCCUUGUAUUUCCCACGAGGGAAAUAGGCAUGUGACGCUCCGACUAAAUUAGGGUUUCCGCUGCUAAUUAAAGAUAAUUAACCUAAUUAAUGGUGUUUAGAAGUCGGGGCGUUACAGUUAGACUUAAAGGGUUGGGUUAGAGAUAAAGAGAUGGAUAUGAUUAAAUUAAGGGUGUGGAUAAGAAUACAGAAUUAGCGAGUGAGUUAAAAAAUAAAGUAUUUUCUCUUAUGUGCAUAUUAGUAAAGAAUAAAAUUGAGAUAAGUGGCAAAAUCAUUGCAAUAUUCUUACAAACGCUCUUCAUCACUUCCCUCUUUUCUUUUGUUUAAGGAGUUUCUUGUUCUCGAAAGAGGAAGGGGAAGAGAUUUGUAAUUACCACUCGGACAAGUCUCUUCGAUAGAGAUUGAGAUAAGGAUAAGACCUCUUUUA